ACAAACUUGGUCAUUUAGAGGAAGUAAAAGUCGUAACAAGGUUUCCGUAGGUGAACCUGCGGAAGGAUCAUUAUAGAACAAUCAAAUCCAUGUAGAGUGUGCUGUAGCUGGCCCUUCGUGGCAUGUGCACGCCAUUCUGCAAUUUGUUGUCCAUCCACCUGUGCACCCUUUGUAUAGUUCCUAUAGCGGUUUAACUAGCUAGCUAGACUUGCUAGUCGCGAGAGUGUACCAUUCGUACGCUCGUCACUCGCAAGGACUAUACGCAUUCAUAUACACUUCAGUUGAAUGGCUAGAAUGGUCUUGUAAUGAAUUUAUACAAGUAUAACUUUCAGCAACGGAUCUCUUGGCUCUCGCAUCGAUGAAGAACGCAGC
This 372-nucleotide unclassified non-coding RNA is filed under the name uncultured fungus. RNAcentral describes it as "partial contains small subunit ribosomal RNA, internal transcribed spacer 1, and 5.8S ribosomal RNA". The stretch from base 1 to 73 matches the Rfam family "Eukaryotic small subunit ribosomal RNA", at positions 1759 to 1831 of the family's 1831-position model. The record is from RNAcentral. Lineage: Eukaryota; Fungi.